AUUGAACGCUGGCGGCAUGCUUUACACAUGCAAGUCGAACGGUAACAGGUUAAGCUGACGAGUGGCGAACGGGUGAGUAAUGCAUCGGAACGUGCCCGAUCGUGGGGGAUAACGCAGCGAAAGCUGCGCUAAUACCGCAUACGACCUGAGGAUGAAAGCGGGGGACCGUAAGGCCCCGCGCGAUCGGAGCGGCCGAUGUCAGAUUAGGUAGUUGGUGGGGUAAAGGCCCACCAAGCCGACGAUCUGUAGCUGGUCUGAGAGGACGACCAGCCACACUGGGACUGAGACACGGCCCAGACUUCUACGGGAGGCAGCAGUGGGGAAUUUUGGACAAUGGGCGAAAGCCUGAUCCAGCAAUGCCGCGUGCAGGAAGAAGGCCUUCGGGUUGUAAACUGCUUUUGUACGGAGCGAAAAGGUCCUUUCUAAUACAAGGGGCUCAUGACGGUACCGUAAGAAUAAGCACCGGCUAACUACGUGCCAGCCGCCGCUGUAA
RNAcentral lists this ribosomal RNA (493 nucleotides) under uncultured bacterium. RNAcentral's name for it is "partial 16S ribosomal RNA". It matches the Rfam family "Bacterial small subunit ribosomal RNA", at positions 30 to 523 of the family's 1533-position model. The record is from RNAcentral.